Molecule: ribosomal RNA, 484 nt
Filed under: uncultured bacterium
Lineage: Bacteria
Description: partial 16S ribosomal RNA
Rfam family: Bacterial small subunit ribosomal RNA
Source: RNAcentral
AUUGAACGCUGGCGGCAGGCCUAACACAUGCAAGUCGGGCGGAUGAACGGAGCUUGCUCCUGGAUUCAGCGGCGGACGGGUGGGUAAUGCCUAGGAAGCUGCCUGGUAUUGGGGGAUAACGUCCGGAAACGGGCGCUAAUACCGCAUACGUCCUGAUGUAGAAAGUGGUGGAUCUUCGGACCUCACGCUAUCAGAUGAGCCUAGGUCGGAUUAGCUAGUUGGUUGGGUAAAGGCCUACCAAGGCGACGAUCCGUAACUGGUCUGAGAGGAUGAUCAGUCACACUGGAACUGAGACACGGUCCAGACUCCUACGGGAGGCAGCAGUGGGGAAUAUUGGACAAUGGGCGAAAGCCUGAUCCAGCAAUGCCGCGUGUGUGAAGAAGGUCUUCGGAUUGUAAAGCACUGUAAGUUGGGAAGAAGAGAAGUAUGUUAAUACCUUGAUGUUUUGACGUUACCAACAGAAUAAGCACCGGCUAACUUCGUG